RNAcentral lists this long non-coding RNA (1320 nucleotides) under Pan paniscus (pygmy chimpanzee). RNAcentral describes it as "lncRNA (ENSPPAG00000044661.1)". The record is from RNAcentral. Lineage: Eukaryota; Metazoa; Chordata; Mammalia; Primates; Hominidae.
GAGAAAUGGAGGGAAGUGAGACAUGACUAAGAUGUAGGUAAAAAGGAAUAAAGGUGUUUCCUGCUCAAAUCUCUCUUGAAGAAAUUAAUGGAGAAGGAAAGCACAAAGCAUGCUUGAAAGAAAGCAAAGCUGUUUGAAUUUCCCUUGGGAAAAGAUGCAAUGCAGACUGGCUUUGAAACUUGGACUCCUUGGCCAAAACAUGCAUAUUUGUUUCCUUUUAAUUUGUUCAAAUGUAUCAUCAACACAACCAGAAUCCCUGUGCAGUUGGUACUGGACUAGUUAAUUAGCAAGUGUAAAUAAACAGUGAAAGGAGGAGGAUGACUGGAGUUUCACAACUGCUUUAAUACAAUUGAUUCCACUUAGAGAAGAUGACAUGUUGAAAUGUGAUGAGUAAAGAUGUGCAGAAUGCUUCCCCAGUAAUUGGAAUUCAAGCAACAAUAACACUGGGCAUUGUUGGAUCCUUUACAACUUUAAGAAAAAGGUCUCCUUCCUUCGCUUUGGAAAAAAGUGCACAUAUUAUAGAACAUCGUGACUUUAUUCAACAUUAAAAAGAGAAAUUAAAAAUUAUUUCACCUGAGUGCAUCUGCAUUUGAAUCAAGCAUAUGUUUAAGUUUAUGCAACUUCUAAUGCACAAUUUCUUCUUCCAACUUUCUAUUGCUAUAAAAUGGCAGGAUUUUAGAGCUGAAUGAGUAAUUUUGUGUCAAAUUCUCACUUUAGAAAUGAGGAGAUAAAGGCCUAGAUAAGUAAGGUAAUUUACCUAUAGAUACACAGUAAAUUGAUGGCAGAAAUGGAACCAAGCUAAGAACUCCUGAUUGUGCUUCUUGAAUAGCCCAAGAUGGGAGGGUCUGAGCAGUGGGAAAGAGACUGUCAGGGGCCAAGGACCAGUUAUCCUGGGGAAAUAUUAAGAAGAACUGAAUGAGAAUAACAGCUGGUAAAAGGCCAUUGGCUGUAGCAAACAGAUUACAGAUGAUGUCUAUAGUCAGGACUUUUUUGGUCAUGAGUGGUGGAAAACCAUCUAAAACUAGCUUGAGCUAAAGGAAAAAAUUACAUCCUCAUGUUACCAAGAAGUCUGGAUUUAGAAGUUAUUUCAAGUACACCUGCAGAGAGGUGCCCAAAUGACUAUCAAUCCUUUUUCUCGAGCUCUGUUUCUUCGCUUUCUGUGUUGGUCUUAUUCUUUCUUACGGGUAGCCUCUUCCAUGCAGUGAGAAAGAGGGCCACUUUGUAAUCUGUAUUUAUGUUCUCCCACUUUGGCAACCUCAGCUGAAAAAGAAGGCCUGCCUUUCAAUGUUCAAACAUUAAUUGUGGAGCAGAACAUUAAUU